GCCGGUCCUCGGUAGUGGCCCCCUGGCCCAAGACGACAACCCAGGGGACUUCGAUCGAAGACCGGC
This is a regulatory RNA element of Saccharothrix espanaensis DSM 44229, 66 nucleotides long. It matches the Rfam family "Actino-pnp RNA". Lineage: Bacteria; Bacillati; Actinomycetota; Actinomycetes; Pseudonocardiales; Pseudonocardiaceae. The record is from Rfam.